GACGAACGCCGGCGGCGUGCUUAACACAUGCAAGUCGAACGGAAAGGCCUGCUUUCCCUUGUGGAUUGCGGGUACUCGAGUGGCGAACGGGUGAGUAACACGUGAGUGAUCUGCCCCCAACUUGGGUAUAAGCCUGGGAAACUGGGUCUAAUUCCCGAUAGGACUGCAGGGUGGUGCCUGUGGUGGAAAACGAUUUUCUAGUGGUUGGGGAUGAGCUCGCGGCCUAUCAGCUUGUUGGUGGGGUAAUGGCCUACCAAGGCGGCGACGGGUAGCCGGCCUGAGAGGGUGGACGGCCACAUUGGGACUGAGAUACGGCCCAGACUCCUACGGGAGGCAGCAGUGGGGAAUAUUGCACAAUGGGCGGAAGCCUGAUGCAGCGACGCCGCGUGGGGGAUGACGGCCUUCGGGUUGUAAACUCCUUUCGACCGCGAGGAAGCCACCUGGUUGGAAGGGUGGUGACGGUAGUGGUAGAAGAAGCACCGGCUAACUACGUG
Molecule: ribosomal RNA, 494 nt
Filed under: uncultured bacterium
Lineage: Bacteria
Description: partial 16S ribosomal RNA
Rfam family: Bacterial small subunit ribosomal RNA
Source: RNAcentral